Molecule: ribosomal RNA, 253 nt
Filed under: uncultured bacterium
Lineage: Bacteria
Description: partial 16S ribosomal RNA
Rfam family: Bacterial small subunit ribosomal RNA
Source: RNAcentral
GACGAACCGUGCGAACGUUGUUCGGAAUCACUGGGCUUAAAGGGCGCGUAGGCGGGCCGCGAGGUCGGGGGUGAAAUCCUGCAGCUCAACUGCAGAAGUGCCUCCGAUACCGGCGGCCUCGAGGGGGGUAGGGGCGUGUGGAACUUCCGGUGGAGCGGUGAAAUGCGUAGAUAUCGGAAGGAACGCCGGUGGCGAAAGCGACGCGCUGGACCCUCUCUGACGCUGAGGCGCGAAAGCCAGGGGAGCAAACGGG